GACGAACGCUGGCGGCGUGCUUAACACAUGCAAGUCGAGCGGUAAGGCCCUUUCGGGGUACGACGAGCGGCGAACGGGUAGAGUAACACGUGGGUGACCUGCCCUCCAGCUCUGGGAGUAAGCCUGGGAAACGUGGGUCUAAUACUGGAUAUGACUCCACGGUGCAUGUCGUGGGGUGGAAAGCCUUGUGCGGCUGAGGAUGGGCCCGCGGCCUAUCAGCUUGUUGGUGGGGUGAGGCCUACCAAGGCGACGACGGGUAGCCGGCCUGAGAGGGCGACCGGCCACACUGGGACUGAGACACGG
Molecule: ribosomal RNA, 303 nt
Filed under: uncultured bacterium
Lineage: Bacteria
Description: bacterial SSU rRNA
Rfam family: Bacterial small subunit ribosomal RNA
Source: RNAcentral